AUGAAGUUUUUACUUUUAUUUCAUUUGAUUUUGUAAAAUGCAAACAUGUAGAAUCAAACAAAAUGAUCAAUCAGCUAGGGACAAAUCAAAGAAAUACAUUUUGUUUUUAAAUUUGUCAAACCUUCAAAUCAAAUAAUUUGUCAAGGACUUUUCUAGUAGACUUGACACUAAUAAUGUGUCACUCAGUCAAUGCCCUUGUUAAAACAUUUAU
Biomphalaria pfeifferi is the source of this 211-nucleotide non-coding RNA. Lineage: Eukaryota; Metazoa; Mollusca; Gastropoda; Planorbidae. The record is from the annotation of a GenBank genome assembly.